GGUCGUCCCGCCCCGAGCAGAAAACCCCAACUGUUCUCGGCGAUGCUGAAGAUGUCGCAGCAGCAAGGACUCCAGGGAACCUUCAGCACUCGUGAGGAAGACCUUCAAAACCUCUGAAGGCACCGCAGAGGUUUCUCAGAUGCCCCCCCCCUCCCCGGUUCACCGGCGCUCUCCGAUCCCUCGCAUCACGGUGCAGGACGGAGAGGACGCCGUGUCGGAGACGCCCUCCAUCACCAUCCGGAUGACUCCCCGGCUUCAGGGCGAGGAGACGCUGUCUGUGGAGGUGCCCUGAGGCAAAGACUCUGCUUCCCACAAUGCAUUUCAGCAACCUUCAGGGAAGAGACGUGGCAUGCAGACCGCAAGAGGAAGACUACAAACCCCAGUGCAUCAUGGUCUCUGUGUGUAAACUGCUUCUUCUUCUUCCUCCUUUUUUGGCCCCUUUGGAUUUCGUGUAUCAGUAAAACUGAUGAAUUGAUGGAAAAUCAUCUAAAGGGUGUUUUACUUUUCUUAACUUACUGAAUUUGUGGGCGCUUCUCAUCGUUUGAUCAAAGAUGAAUUAAGGAAGGAUUACUUUGUGAAAUUAGCGUCAGUUUUUCAAUUGAUGCAAAUAUGUUCUGCAUUUAAUGGUUUAGUGAUAAACUGAACAUCAAAUGUUAAAUGAACACAUAGACUUCCUCUUGAUCAUUUACUGCUUUGCUUACAGAGUACAUUUGAAAUAUUCUUCUCAUAUAUUUCUGGGUUUCUCAUAAAUCUACCUCUAAAAUCUCAGAGUAUUGACUUAUAUAUGUUUCUCAUUCAUUUACUACGUUCAAAUCAGGGAAUACUUGUAAAUGUACCACAACAACCUCAGAGAAUAUAGAAUGUUUUUUUAGAGUUAUUUUUCCGACUUUAACCUCAGGGGAUAUUCAAGUGUUCGUCUCGUAAAUGUACUUAUUUGAUCUCAAGGAAUUGUCCCGUAGUUUCUUGUGAAAUGUUUACUUUAACCUUGUAAUGUUGCUGCCCCCCCCCCCCAAUCCGUAAAUUGUCAUUUUAUAUUUCACGUAAAUUGGCCCGAAUUUUGCGUUUCAAGAGGUCACAUCUUCUUCCAGGGUCAAUGCUUAUCAACAACUUUUCUAACUCAUCUUGCUCGUGUUACAGGGACAGCAAUGCAUGAAAACACUCUAUUACAGCUACAUGUAAGCAAAACGUUGAUAUGCAGUAUGUGAAAUAAUAAAACGUUUUUUACCAAACUCAAA
Molecule: long non-coding RNA, 1235 nt
Organism: Gymnodraco acuticeps
Lineage: Eukaryota; Metazoa; Chordata; Actinopteri; Perciformes; Bathydraconidae
Exons: 2
Source: RefSeq, a predicted model, not a curated record